GACGAACGCUGGCGGCGUGCUUAACACAUGCAAGUCGAACGGAAAGGCCCUGCUUUUGUGGGGUGCUCGAGUGGCGAACGGGUGAGUAACACGUGAGUAACCUGCCCUUGACUUUGGGAUAACUUCAGGAAACUGGGGCUAAUACCGGAUAGGAGCUCCUGCUGCAUGGUGGGGGUUGGAAAGUUUCGGCGGUUGGGGAUGGACUCGCGGCUUAUCAGCUUGUUGGUGGGGUAGUGGCUUACCAAGGCUUUGACGGGUCGCCGGCCUGAGAGGGUGACCGGCCACAAUGGGACUGAGAUACGGCCCAGACUCCUACGGGAGGCAGCAGGGGGGAAUAUUGCACAAUGGGCGGAAGCCUGAUGCAGCAACGCCGCGUGCGGGAUGACGGCCUUCGGGUUGUAAACCGCGUUCGCCUGUGACGAAGCGUGAGUGACGGUAAUGGGUAAAGAAGCACCGGCUAACUACGUG
RNAcentral lists this ribosomal RNA (468 nucleotides) under uncultured bacterium. RNAcentral describes it as "partial 16S ribosomal RNA". It matches the Rfam family "Bacterial small subunit ribosomal RNA", at positions 28 to 507 of the family's 1533-position model. The record is from RNAcentral.